AGAUAGGAUGCGACAUAGCAGUUCAUCAGGUAAAAUACUGAUUCUAUCUGCAUUUGGCAUCCCUAGCCAGACUCGCCUCCAUCGCUUUGAGAGAAGGCUUGUGCUCGGGAUUUCCUCUGAGGGUAAAAAUGACAGAAUUUGACAUAGCAAUUCAUCGGGUAAACCACUCAUCCUAUCUUCUUCUGCCAUCAUAGUUUGAUUACUUGAUCAAAUAACAAAACAAAAAGAAUAAACUUUUGUUAGUUACCUUUGGGAUUGGGAUUGGGAUUGGGAUUCCGAUAUGCUAUGCGCAUGCGGCUAGGGUUGAAGGAAGUAGAGGAAGAAGAAGAUGAAUGAUUGACUUUGUUAUGUAUUUCUGGAUUUAUUUAUUGGCCUUUUCUCUCUUGGGCUGGGCCGGCCCGCCGGCCUAUCUUAUCUUAUUGUUUUCACAAGACAAUUGCUUUUGAAACCCUCUCUUCAACCAGAGGCAUAUUUUAUGUUUUUAAACGUUUAUUUUAUUUUGUUAAGAUAAAUGCCAGCAACCCACAUUUUAACCAAAUUUAUAUGGGAUCCACAUAAUUUGGUAGGACUUAUGUGAAUUUUAACCAAUCAAAGAGAGUGUAUUGAAAAAUGUGUGUUGCUAGCAUUUCUCAUUUUUUUUUAAUGUUAUUCUUCAAGAUAGAGAGUAAGCAUCAAAAUUUUCAGUCAUAAUUUCUUUUCCACUUGUCUCACCCAUUCGAAAAAAGAAUUGCUUCAUGAUCACUCUAUGAAAGUAUGGGUAUACUUUCUUAAACAUAAGUCAGACACAUUUGAGGAUUGUGAGAAUUGGAAAGCCAUGGGAGAAAAUGAGACAAAGUUAACGAUUAAAAAAAAACUCAAAACCAACAAUGGUUGUGAAUAUCAAAACACCAAAUUCAACAAGGUUUCCUAUGAGCAUGGGAUCAAAAUGGAAAGAAUCGUGUCAUCAUGUACGCCUCGACAAGGUAAUGUAUAUAAACUUAUGAAUUGAUCGUUAACUAAGAGAGCCAAAAGCUUCUGUGUGUAGUCAUGCUUACCGAAACAUUUCUUGGCAUAAUAAGUCAACAUAACAUCUUACUUCUCAAACAUCUUCUCUAUACUAAGUUAAGCUUUAUACAAAUUAUGUUUUCUAUUCAAUUAUCUCUACAUCUAUUAUUAUUAAGAAAUUGCACAUGUGUAAUCCCAACGUUCUAUGUUCGACACACAACCAAGAAUCGUUAUUAUAAUGGAAAGAGACGAUAGGUAAGGCGGAAACACAACAUAAUUAGAUAAUGUAUCUCUAAUGGAGCGGUUAGAGUUGAUUUUGUACGUACUAAUAAAAACUUAGGGUAUCCUUUGACGAAAUGACUAAAUAGAGAGAAAGCCUGAGAAACAUCUAGUAGGAUGGGACUAAUGUCUAUAGCUUAUUGAGUGAUGGUAACCCGACCUACAUGAAUGGAGAUCCCAAGACUUAGGUUCAACGGGUAAUAAUGAGUCAUGAAGUGAUAGAACAUGUUAUGAGAAAAAGGAUAUAGAAAGCAUGAUCUUUGCAGCUAAAGAAGGAAGAUAUAAUAGCAACUCUUAAUGAGAUCUAUACUCUAUGUUGAGUAGGGUACAUAGCUACAGGAGUACUCUUGAUAGAUUCAUCUAUACGAAUGUGGAACUGAGGUCGGUUCUAUAGAAUUUUGAGGCAGAAUUUCUAGAGCGUUCGUUAAAACUGGGAUAGACGUGCAGGGCCAUAAAUGCACGGGCUUUUAGAAUACACCUUAGAAAAGGUUGAAGUAGAUAAAAUAGUCACAAGGAAGGGGGGUUUGAAUUGUGACCCUUUAAAAAUUAUCCUGAAACUUAAAAGUGAUUCUCAAGUAGUUUACUUGGAAUAGUUAAGGUAAUAUUCUGACUUCAGAGCGUUCUGAAUAAAGUAAAUGUGUAAGUGUGUGUUGUGUAUACUGUAAUUAAAGAGUAUAGGGAAGAGAGAGAGAGAGAGAGAGAGAGAGAGAGAGAGAACACAUAAAGAUUUAUAGUGGUUCACCCAAUGUGGGUUAGUCCACUCCUCACAAUCUUGUGAAGGUUUCCACUAUGAUGUUUGAGAUAACCUCUCAAAUCCUGCACCUUACAAUCUUUGUUCACCUCAACAAUUACAACUCUGCAUUCUCUAAGCCUCAACAGUCUUGCACCUUAUUGCUAAGUUAACUAUUUAGACUUUUACAACCUUUUCUCAAACUAACAUUUUAGUACCCCUAAAGCUAGAUGUGAUUCUGUUUACAAUUUGUAAGAGGUUUAAAUGUUUGAAAAUCAAACAGAAGAGGAGGAAGAAGAAGUUAUCUUUAAGAGAGAUAACAAGAAGAGAAUUGAUUUACACUACAAAGAAGGUAAAAAGAGCCUUCAGUGAUGAUCAAUUCAAAUUGCAAGAGCUUCAAACAAUUUCAGUUGUUUUUUUGUAUGCUUUGAAAUGGUGCAAGUUUUGUUAAGGCCAUGAUCUCUAUUUAUAGAUUCUUUGGGCUCAUAUAGCCGUUGUAGGGUGUCCAAUUGUGUAAUGCCAUGUGUCCUGGGUCGCACAAGCUUUUACUUGAAAUUCUGGGCAAACAUUAUGAUCUCUAAUGAACAUUAGAAUGUUGUUGUGUUCAUGAUGAUCUUCAUCUGGGUUCAUCAUGUAUGAAUGAACACAUGAAGUUAUGGGCAUGUCAUAUGCUUUUCAUAUGAGUUUCUGGGCAAUAACCAAAGUAUGGGUUUUUCCACAUACAUCAGAAAGUUACUUUCCCAGAUUUGCCUUGGGACUGGUGCAGGAGAGAUAAAGUGGAUUAUGCAUCUUCAUGUCAAUGCUUUGAGGGAUUGUGUGGUCCUUGUACUGUACCAACUAUCAUGCGUGUCUAUCUCUUGUUGAACAAGAUAGAUUUGCUUUGCUUUUGCUUUUUGCUUUUCACCCACUGUACUGUUCAUAAAGUAAGCAUGUGCUGAGCUGAACAUUCUGACCAUCAGAAUGUUCCAUCUAUUUCACUUAGGAUAAUUUGUUAGACUACCAUUUGAUGUAAUCAAAUCCUUAUAGUGGAAUUCAAUGAACUAAGUGGAGAGCUACCAAUGGAGCUAGGAAAGCUUCAAAAUCUUCUUGCUGUGAAUAUAUCACAUAACAGCCUCACAGGAAAGCUUCUAAUUGGUAGCAUAUUUCAAAACUUGGACAAAAGUUCUUUGGAAGGAAACUAUGGUCUUUGUUCGCCCUUGUUGACAGGUCCAUGCAAAAUGAAUGUACCAAAACCUCUAGUACUUGAUCCACAUGGCUAUAACGAUCAAAUGGAUCCUCGAAUCCCAAGAAAUGAAUCAUCUGAGUCUAGUAGUCCAAUUCAUCACCACAGGUUCCUUAGUAUUUCAGCUAUUAUAGCGAUUUCAGCUUCUAUUGUCAUUGUAAUAGGAGUGAUUGCUAUUAGUCUGGUAAAUGCUUCUGUAAGGAGAAAGCUAGCAUUUGUGGAAAAUGCUUUGGAAAGCAUGUGUUCAAGCUCUUCUAGAUAGGAUCACCAGCCAGAGGUAAACACAUUCUUUUUUACUAGUAUAAUGACCCGUGCUAACACGGGGAAAUAAAAAACUUUUUUAAUCAAAUGUAUAGAUUUUAAAUUCGAUAUGAAAAAAAUAUCAUCUUAAUUUUGUAUAUAUUUUGAAAUAUCUAAACAUUUCAUAUAACGAUAAAAAUAUUUGGAUUAUUAUACUUGUACUAAUUAUUUGUAGUAUAAGAUGCAUUCAUUGUUAAAAUUAGCAUAUGUAAUUUUCUUGCAAAAAUACGCCGACGUACUGUGUAAUAAUAUUUGUUGGCAAAAUGUAUUUUAUUAAUCAUAAAAACUAAAAAAUAUGUAUUUUUUUUAUAUAAUAGUCAUUGUCACAUGCAUACACGUAGUAGGUAAAUGCAAACGUUUAAUUUUUUUUACGGGUGUGUAUAAAUAUAGUUUGGGCUACAGAAACGCCGAUUGUUAUUUGUUUUUAAUUUUUACAAAACAAAUGGUCUAAUGUAAAUAUUGUAUUUUAGGGUAACAACGAUGUAAACAAAAUAAAAAAAUAAAAAAAAAGGUUUCACGGAUUGUUAAACCUGAAAAGUGCAUGAAUUAAUAGUCAAUGACAGGAGGAUCUACUUAUAUAGAAAUUGCAUGUCUAUAAUGACCAGUACGCCUUACAAAGAAAUUAAAAAUAAAACGACUUCCAAACAAUAGGCAACUUUAGUUUUAUAAAUUAUAGCAACAACAAUUCUAAAACAUAACCAAUGAUCAUACUUUUUGAAAAACUUCACGAUACACAACAUUUGUGGUCUCCUUACAAACAUUAUUAUCUUCAUCCAUGAUGAGCAGCUUCAGACCUUUUCUUGAAGUUACUUGAGAGACAGCGACAUAAAGUUGUCCAUGCGUGAGCACAGGCUUAGGAAGAUAACCCCCACUCGAGAUAAAGAUUGACCCUGACUUUUAUUUAUUGUCAUUGCAAAACAAAGCGUCAGUGGAAAUUGCCUGCGCCUGAAUUUGAACGGUAGUUCUGGAUCACUCGGAAUAAGAUUCAUCCUGGGAAUGAAUACUCUAGUACCUGCCCUUUUUCAUGUAAUUACGGUAGCAGCUAUCGUGCUCUUCCCUAGACGUGUAAUUGUCAGCCUAGUACCAUUACACAGUCCAUUGCCUUGAUCGAUGUUUCUCAUCAGCAUAACCGGACAUCCCACCUUUAGUUUCAACCUGUGAUUUGGAAUUCCAAAGCUCUUAAUACCAUUAAGAAAUUCUGGUGUGAACCACUCGCUUUGGACAUCAGAAUUUUCACCCGAUCUAAAAAUAGAAUCAGAGGUUAAAUACUCUUUCUCUUCACCUGGAAUCAGCGACAUCAUAAAUUCGUUAACAUGCUCAACUGAAUCAAGCGUUGGUGCGAGUAUUCCCCUUUCUUGGAAAAGUAGUUGGUCACCAAGGUUAUCAUUCAGAUCGGGAUACACAAAGUCUAUAAGUGACAUCAACGGAUUUGUUGUGUCUGAUAUCAGCGAAUCUUCAGGAAUUUCUACCUUCAUUUCACCAUUGUCACCCGAAGCAUCGUUGCCGUCUCCAAUUGAGAGUAUCCACUUGCAAAAAUUAGCAAUUUCUUCUUGCUCUGCAGGUACCGAAGAUGCACCCAAUCUCAUAUUAACAGUAAGCCUCAACACAUUACAAUAAGCCUAUAUCUUUGACGAAUUGACCGAGGCAUCAACAAUAUCCGGCCUCGUUCCUCCUCGGACAACAGGCAAUAUCUGCCUAAAAUCACCACCUAAAACUACUGUCAUUCCACCAAAAGGUUUAAGUGCGUUUAAGGGAUCAUUCUUGAACAUGAUAUCACGUAAUGAUCGGUCAACUACCUCAAAACACCAUUGGUGCAUCAUUGGAGCCUCACCCCAAAUUAUCAACUUUGCAGCAUGCAUUAGGUCUGCCCUAGGACUAUCCUUUUCCAUCGUAAGCGAUGACGCCUCAUUAAUCUCAAUAGGGACUGUCGGCGUGGAGUGUGCGGUUCUUCCACCUGGUAAUAGAAGAGCCGUUAUACCGUUUGAUGCAACAUUCAAUACAAUUAACCCCUUCGAUCUAACAACAGCCGACAAUCUUUUCCAUAUAAAGGUUUUUCCAGUACCGCCGUAACCAUAUAAGAAAAAGAAACCACUAUCGUCAGAACCAACAGACUCCAUGAUCUUGUCAUGCACACAUCUUUGUUCAUCUGUCAGCAUCAGUAACAUAUCAGCGUGUGUCUUUUCCAAUUCAACUUUGCUGUAAUUUAGCUCAUCAAUGAUAAGUCUGUUUGUGAAAGUUGGCAUGUCUGCCGCGUUUGGCCUAGGCAUAGAUUUGAAGUCAGUAAGCGACGUCCGUUUUCCUGAAGCAACAUUUCAAUUUCAAUCAAACACAUGUUCUUCAAGUCAUCGCCACUGAUACGCAUAUCUACAUAUUAAAUGUAAAGUCACGAAAUUAAUAUGAACACCUAAAGAAAAAUGAUAGUAAAAGAAUAUAUGCAAUGCAACAGAAAAAAUGAUAUUAAAGUCACGACUCAAUUCUUAAUCGAAAAAGCUUAUUUCAGCUUAACUCAAACUAAAAAAAUAAGUUUAUUUGUAAAGGAUUUCCCAAGCCAUUAUUUAUUUAAAGCGAAAAUAAAUAGAUAUAGGAACUGCUAUAAAAUGAUGUCAUGAAUGCUCACUAAUCUAGAUAACGUGAAAAAGUAAUCAAUUAAAAAACAGAAAAUGUGAACAAAUUAAUCAAGAUAUACAUGGUGGAAAGCUAUAUAUGACAGUUUUGUGGCGUUGACAGUAGAUAAAUAUAUUUAUUUAAUAGUGUAUAAUCAAAUUAAUAGUGUAUUUGUUUUUUUUUUUUUUGAAAGAAUAUUGUAUUUGUUUAUUAUCACUACUUAAAUAGAUAAAUAUAUUUAUUGAGAUAGGCAUACAAUACUUUGAACAGGACUAUGUUAACCAAUUUUCUAAAAUGUGCCUUUUUAGACAGAGAAAAAAAAUGCAAAAAUUAGAUCGUAAACAAAACAAAAAAUGGUGCAUAGAUUUAGUAAUAAGUACAAUAAACAUUACCCAAAAUAUUCAGACGCUUCCUACGUUCAAAUAAGAUAUCAUUGGACAGUAACUGCCAUGCCGCAUCCCAUACUAUAUCAGGGCUCGUCAUUGUCCUAAUGGUUAAGAGAUGCACAAACAACCAACACAAUUGAUGGCCCGAACCUAACUCACCAUUUUCCGUAAUACCAUCUAUAAACUCUGUCGUCAUCAAGUAAUCCUAAAGCAGAGCGUGCUUCCUGGAACGUGUCAUAGGUAUGUCCAUUAAUCGUUUUUCAUCUAUAUCUCAUGCAGCCCUUCUUAACAGUCAAUAGUAUCCUCAUGUAGUACAACUCAACGAUCAAUAGUAUCCUCAUGUAGUACAACUCCCAUAUACCAGGCGGCGUGUAAUGAAGCCUUCCAAUUUGAUAUCCUAGUUUACGUGGCUGCCACUGUUUGUCCUUCUUCUCAUAAGUAAAUCUUGUUAGAAAUUCAGCAUAUGUUAGAUCGCGAUCGCCUACAUACUGACGAUUUGCUUCAAACCACACGAGAAACAUGGUCUAUGCUUCCUUGUUAUACAUCACCACGUCCUCGAUGUCUCUUUUGCUGCUUUGUUAAUCUCAUAUGUCAUCUUGUUUCACAUAUCAUUUUCGCUUCUAUGUAGUUUUGCACAACCUUCCUUUAAAAUCUUUUGUAAGAAAACACUAUAUUUUUCAUCCUUUAAAUUCCACCACUUGAUCCUUGUAUCCCAAUCACGACAUCUCAUCUUUGGUCUUCUCUUAACCCUUACAUCCAUAACCAAUAUUAUAUGUUGGAUAAUCAAACUCUCUCCAAGUAAAUCUUUAAGUCCAAACAAAUAUUUAUGUCAGAAUUCCCAAUAAGAAAUAAAUCUAUCUGAGAACAUGAUAUCUCACUCUUGUAUGUAAUAAUAUUCCCUUUUCUUUUCCUAAAGUAAGAUUAAAAGACAACAAAAAAUCUAGGAUGGAUUUACCGAAUGCUUUUUUCUUCCCAAGGCUAUACCCUCAUUCACGCCUUCAAAAGUUAUGAAGCACUCCUUACAUGCUCAUUUAGAUCCCCUCCUAGAAAAAUAUUCUUAUUGUGGUAUAUCUUUAAUUAAGCCUUUCAAAUCCUUCCAAAAUUUUACUUUAGGGUAUUCUUUCAAACCUAUCCAAUGUGAGUAAACACUAAUAACAUUAAAGAUGUCUUAUUUCCUUUCAAAAAAAUAAAUUAAAGAUGUCUUAUGAAACUACAAAUUUGUGGGCUACAAUCCAAUCUCCUGUCCUCUUUACAUUCAAAAUAUCUUUUUUCCAUUCCUUAUCCUCAAUAAUGGCUACACCAUUUCUCGAUCUAACUAUUCCAGUUUACCAAUGCUUAAAUACUGAACUAUCUAAUUCUUUCGCAUUUUCACCCACCCACUUAGUUUCUUGUUGGCACAUAAAUUAAUCUUCCUCCAACUCAUAACGUCAAUCAUUUUCAUAUAUGUUCAAGUAAGGGUGCCUUUUUCCAUGUUCAAAAACAUAUCCUACUAUCAUGAACUAACUUCUUUACCCACACUUGUUCACAAAGAUGUGGGACCCUUGCUUAUUUUUUUACUUCAUUCAGGCAUCGGUGUAUCCACCUUUUCUCAUUUAACAUUGUACUUGAGCUAUACAACCCGUUUCUUCUAGGCACUAUCCUAAUGUUCACACUAUUAUAUACUUGGUCCAUGCCAUAGAGAUUCAAAGUGUUUCAAUUAAUUCAAGUGAUCAAAUUUUAAACAGUAAAAUAUAGUCCAAGUCUUGAGUUUUUUAUAAUAUAUAAUUUCAUUUAAUUAAAGGGUUUUUAUAUCAUGUGCAAAUUUGCACAUGUUAAGAAGUUUAAAGUACUAUGUUUGAUUUGGAACUUGUGUAUUUUCUAUUAAUAUAUAAAUUUUUAAUAAAUAAUUGUUGUUUUCCAAUAAAUAGUUGCCGCUUUUAGUUACUUUAACAUAUGCAAUUUUGCAAAUGUUAGACAAACCCUUUAAUUAUAUAUAUAUAUAUAUAUAUAUAUAUAUAUAUAUAUAUAUAUAUAGAGGAUGUAUCAUAUGAGAAUGGUAUGUAUAUGUGAGAAUGAUGAGAAUGAAUGUGAGUCAUCAGAUUAAAAACAAAUGGUUAACAUUAAAAAACUUAACAUGUGCCAAACUCCCACUACUCUCACGCGUUCAUUGUUCUUCAUCUGCAUUCCAACCAGAUUCUUCCUCUUCCUCUCCCACAGACCACAACACAUCAGCUUCCUUUUCCGGUGCUCAAACGUUGUUCCCAACAAAAGGGUCGUCGGAACCAGCCAAGCUUUCCAACAACCACGAGGUUAUCGUUCGCAAAACCCCCAGACCCCACCACCACAAGGAUCGCUCCCCUUUCCCAGAUCCGUUGUAUUUACAGUGAGCCAUAGUCACCGGCGCCGAGUGCCGGCAGGUCGUUAGUGUGCCAAUAAUUGAUUGCGGAUUAUUGUUUGUGUUAAUUUGAAUUGAAAAAAAAAUAUUGUUAAGGGGUUAGAAAAAAAAUUGAUAAGAGGUCUCGUAAUUUUUUUACGAUAAUUGCCAAAACAAAUCCAUUAAUGAAAUUUUUUGGAAGGAUUCAAACUUUUGAUUUAUUUUCAACUAUAGUUUACCUUUAUUCAUAACUCAUGAAACUUCAAGGCCUCAUGAAUUUUCUUAAUAAAAUGAAAUAGAAUAUUGUUGGUGAUUCAUCAGAGAUAACUUAAUGUUGGGUGCUAAAGCAUAGAGAGUUGGGUGGCCGACAAUGGUGGUGUGUGGCUAGAAGAAGAAGAUGAGAAUGAUAGGAUCAAGUGAGAAUGCGUGAAAGGAGUUUGUGAGUUUGGCACAUGUUAAGUUGUUUUAAUCUUAACCCUUUGUUUUGAAUCUGAUGUUUCUCAUUCAUUCUCACAUAUACAUACCAUUCUCAUAAGAUAGCCCUGAUUGGAGCAUGUCAAAGUUUCAACAAAUUAUUUAUAAUUAAUACAAUUAAAGUAUGUGUUUUAUUUUUAAAGAACAAAAUAGAAUUUUUUUUUUAUAUGCUUAUUUAAAGAUUAUUCAGAGGUACUUCCUAACAAUUUUUUAUAUCGUAUUCACGACUAAUAACAAUCAUUUGAACUAUUUUAUUUCUCCCAAUUAGUCUUUGGAAGUAAGUGUCGUGAAACAGAGAGAAAAAUAGAUAGCCUAUUUAGAAGGUUUGUACCAAAUUAAUUUCAUUCAAAAUAUUACAAACUACUAUGUUUUAGUUUUCUUAAUAAGUGUGUUUUUUUUUUUUUGCUUAUAAGAUGAGACGGAGGGAGUAUAUAGAUUUCAAGCACAUCGCCGUGAAUGCUAAAAUAUUUAUUUACUUUGCUCUUAAAAACUUAAUAUGAUGAAAUUGAUUUAUAAAAUUAACAUGAAUCAUUCUUAUAUUAUAGAUAGAUGAUCACUUGUUUUACAAAUGUAGCUUUGUUGUAAGGAUUUGGGACAAUAAUUUUAAAUGGAAAGGAACAGUGGUGAUUUUACCCGGCAAUAUUUUUUCACUCCUUGACUAUUUUCCAUCAUCUUUUGAAGAAGAAAAAAAUCCAAUCAAAUAUAAUGCAAUAUAAUUUGGAUCAAUAUUUACAUAUCCAAAAUAAAGUAAAAGAAAACUCUUUUAAUGUUAAUAAUAUAAAGGAACAAUAGAUUAAUAGGUUUGAUAAAAAAAAAUAGAUUAAACUAAUAAGUAUUAUUAAAAAAAGUUGGAAACCCUUUUCAUUUCAUUUUAUCACAAGUUGAUAAAAUUUGACACACACACACUCAUGAGAGUAAGCUGAAGUAUCACAAAAAAUUAAAAUUAGAAACUAAUAGAUUAACGUAAUAAAUUUGUAAAAGUUUAGUAUAGAGGUAAAAAGACAUAUCUUAAAUAUUAAAGACAUAUAACCAAAUUAAAUCAACUUGGAUAAAAUGAAAUUGACUGCUUUUCCAAAAAAGGUUAAUAUAAUUAUUUUUAAAAUGUCUUUAGGUUUAAAUUUUUUAAAAAAGAUCAAAGUAUUUUUAUUCAUAAAUAUUUCAUUAUUUUUUUAUGAAAAAGUUAGUAAACAAAUUAAUCAAUUUAUUCAUAAAAAAUUAAAUACAUUAUACAUAACAAUUAUUAUUAAAAUUUGUCAUUAAUGAUAAUCUUUUCAUUAAAGCUAAUUAUUAUUUGAAAUCUGAUAAUAAAAUGACUUAUUUGAAGAUAUCAUUAUUCAUUAAGGAAAAUAUUCUCAUAAAAAUUAAUGUUUAUUCAAAAUAUUACAAUUUGAUGACUUGUUUAGGAAGUUUGUAUCACGUUAAUAUUUUUUUUUUUGUUACAAAGGGAAAUAUCGCAUUAAUAUAUUUUAUUAAAUAAUUAUAUUUUUAUUUUUACUUUUUUACUUGUAUUUCUUUGAUUGGUUGUAUAUAACUCUUUUUUUAAAAAUAUAUUGGUUGUAUAUAACUAUUAAUUAUUAUGUGAGAGUUCACCUUAGAAUUUCUUACGUGAAAAGUGUUACCGAGGGUGUUGAUAAAAACUCGUGAAAAAUAAUCUAAAUUCAUGCACAUGUAUUAAUAUACUUGUAUUAUUCAUGUAAUAUACUUGUAUUAUUCAUGUACAUGUGAUAUACAAUAAAUUAAUAAUUACAAAUCAUGAAGAAAAAUGGGCAUUCACGACACGCAACACUAAAAUUUCCAAUAUAAUAAAUACAAUCUUCAAUUUCUUUGUCAUUCUUGUAUUUGAAAAAAAAAAAAUUAAAGAAAUAGUGCACUAUUUCUUAAUACACUAAAUUCAAACGCCUCAUUAUCAAUGUCUUUUGCAAUGCUCCAUCAUAUGACUCUUCUUCCUCAUAAACGACUUUUUGUGCGUCACAAUUUCGAAUCACUUUGUCUCCCUGUCUAAACUAAAAAACAAUAAAAGAUAUAAAAAUAAAAGCUUUAUGUAAUCUAAAUUAAAAAUGAAAACGACAAUAUAUGUUAAUGAGAAUGAGAGAUUAACAUUUUUCAAUCACAUAUAAACCAAAGUCUAAAAACAAAAACAAUGAAAAUUGAAAUGAUUAUUCAAAUAGGAGUCAUAGAAAAUAAUAUGAAAAUAAGAAAACAAAGAACAAUUCAACAAAAAAUUUGAGUUUAUAGAGACUUUCAGAAAAUUUGUGUUGCAUUUUCCAUGUGAUGUAAAACUUGUGAGUAUCGUAAACAAUAUUUAUAGGAAAAAUCAUCAAAGUAAUCACAAUAAUCACUCCCUUGAUUUCUUCAAAAAAAAAAAAAAUCACUCCCUUGAUUUACGGAUAAAAUAAAUGUGAAAAAUAUCCAUUAAUUUUCAAAAAGUCACACAUUUGAAAUCAGAAACAAAAUCAUAUUAUGUUAAUCAUAUUAGUGCAUUUUAAUGAUUUUUUUAUUAUUCCUUUAUUUGUUUGAAAGUCAACAAAGUUAAUUAUGGUAUAUUUUUGUUCUUCCAAAAAUUUGAAUAUUUUUAAUUUAAUAAUUUUUUGUGGUAAUUUUCUUUGGCUAAUGAGGAAUUACAUGAAUAUAUAUUUUUCGUAACAUUAAUAAUAAAUAUAUGCUAGUACUAUUUGUUUUUAAGGAAUAAUAUAUGUUAGUACUAUUUGUAAUCCAACAAAUUAAAAAACAAUUUAUUAAUCUUCUCAUUAAUAAUAUAUUAAUUAGUACUAUUUUCUUUCUUUGCAAAAUUCUAAUAUAUUAGUAUUAUUUUAUGAAAUCCAAUAAUUUAUAGACGUCAUUCAUAAUGAAAACAAUAAUAAUAUUACUACUAUUAUCUCGAUAGUUAAUUAUUAUAUUAUUAAAAAAAAUAUAUGCACAAUAUUAGGCCUAUUCUUUUUAUUUUUGAAGAGAUAAUAGGCCUAUUCUAAAAAGUAGUAUAUAGAAUCAUGCAUAUUGGUGUACAAAUUUAAUUUGAAACUACAAUUCCUAUUCUGGUUACUAUCAUAAUAACGUUUUUAUCUAAAAAAUAAUAAUCAUAAUAAUGUUUUUUUAGGAAUAUUAAUAUUGCAAUUUAUUCAUAAUAUCAAAAUCAAAAAUAUAAAUGGUUAUAAAAAUUAAUUUGGGAUAGCAUUAAAUAUGAAAUGCAUGAGAGAAGAGUGCCACAUAUUGAGACUUGGAGCAAAUGCAAAUGCUUGAGGAAGAGUGCCACGUGUCAACACCAAGAGAAGAAAAAAUUACUUCCAUAUUAGGACUUGAAAUAGGUCCUAAAUUUAUAUUAUAUAGAUUCUCAAUCCACACUGGAUUGGAUCAGCAAUCCAGAAAACUUGCUCAACAAGGCAUCUGAAAUCGGUGAAGGAGUGUUUGGAACAGUUUUCAAAGUUCCAUUGGGAUCACAACAAGGAAGAAAUGUUGCAAUCAAGAAACUUAUCACAUCAAACAUUCUUCAAUAUCCAGAAGACUUCGACAGGGAAGUUAGAAUUAUAGGAAACGCCAGACAUCCAAAUUUGAUUGCGUUGAAAGGAUACUAUUGGACUCCUCAACUACAGCUUUUAGCAUCUGAAUUUGCACCAAAUGGUAACUUGCAAUCCAAGUUACAUGAAAAGCUUCCUUCAAGUCCACCACUUUCUUGGCCAAAUAGAUUCAAGAUUUUACUUGGAACAGCAAAGGGACUUGCACAUUUGCAUCAUUCAUUCAGGCCACCAAUAAUUCACUGCAACAUAAAACCAAGCAACAUCUUACUUGAUGAAAACUUCAACGCUAAGAUAUCAGAUUUCGGAUUAGCUAGGCUAUUAUCAAAGCUAGACAAGCAUGUGAUGAGUAACAGGUUUCAAAGUGCAUUAGGCUAUGUAGCACCUGAACUAGCUUGUCAGAGCUUAAGGGUCAAUGAGAAAUGUGAUGUGUAUGGCUUUGGCGCAUCAACCAAUGAUAUAUAUUACACCAAUAUGUUUCAACUAUUAAAACCCUAAGGACAAUAGAUCAUGCAGGUGUUUUCCUUGAGGCAGUUGGUGAACCAAUAAAAUGCAUAGUUACCAUGCUGACAGAUGGUACAAUAUGGAAAUCCCGGAAAUAGCCUUCUUCAAGAGUUGAAUAGAGAUGAAGAAAUUCAAGAAAAUUUUGGUAUUGAUGAUGAUUUUGACACUGAUGAUAGGCAAGCAUGGAUCAAUGCCACACGGUAUAUUUAUACAAUGGUUUUUCAUUCGCAUUGCCACAUUGUGUUAAAUUGAUGUUUCUUCUAAAUGGGAUUUUCCAAGCAGAUGGCAACCUGAUCCUGUGGAAGCCGAUCCAUCGAAGGGAAGCAGACACCAAAGGAAGGUUGACGUGCUUGGGAUGAUUGUUGGCAUAAUUGGUUCGACAGAUCACUUAGUUCUCGAUUAUUAAACUAUGCUUGUUGAGAAGCUUUUAAAUAAAUCUUAUUAUGAUAUUGACUCAGAGGUUAAUUAUCUGAUUCUUUUUAUAGCUGCAGAUGGUUUGCAUUGCUGAUCCCCCUUAUGACAAGUCACUCCAACAACCACAAAGCAUUUUAUCUAGUCUAGUCUCUGAGGAGAAGUUAGAACUUCGGUAUGGAUUGUACAGUCUUAAGUAGUGAGCUAAUGGAACUAAAAUAAUCCUUUUGGCCAUAGUUUUAAGCAAAAAGGAUACAUAUGUUCUUCAGAACCUGAAUAUCUUGAAAGUCUCAUUUUUGUUUGUUUGUAUAGUCCUUAACCGAUUCCACAAAUUUCAAUCAUCGCAUCCGUGAUGACUAUCCUUGUCUUCAUUGAUUAUUGUUAUCAUACUUUUGGACUUAAAUAAACAGAUUAUGAUCUGAAAAUUUGUUGAUAAACAGCAACUUCUGCUCCCUUUUGGGCUUAAGAUAUGAUUCCUUAUUCUUUUUGCAGAUUGGAUCAGCAAUCCAGAAAACUCGCUAAACAAGGCAUCUGAAAUUGGUGAAGGAGUGUUUCGAACAAUUUUCAAAGUUCCGUUAGGAUCACAACAAGGAAGAAAUGUUGCAAUCAAGAAACUUAUCACAUCAAACAUACUUCAAUAUCUAGAAGACUUCGACAGGGAAGUUAGAAUUCUAGGCAACGCCAGACAUCCAAAUUUGAUAGCGUCGAAAGGAUACUAUUGGAAUCCUCAACUACAGCUUUUAGCAUCUGAAUUUGCACCAAAUAGUAACUUGCAAUCCAAGUUACAUGAAAAUCUUCCUUCAAGUCCACCACUUUCUUGGCCUAAUAGAUUCAAGAUUUUACUUGGAACAGCAAAGGGACUUGCACAUUUGCAUCAUUCAUUCAGACCACCAAUCAUUCACUACAACAUAAAACCAAGCAACAUCUUACUUGACGAAAACUUCAACGCAAAGAUAUCAGAUUUCGGGUUAGCUAGGCUAUUAACAAAGCUAGACAAGCAUGUGAUGAGUAACAGGUUUCAAAGUGCUUUAGGUUAUGUAGCACCAGAACUAGCCUGUCAAAUCUUAAGGGUCAAUGAGAAAUGUGAUGUGUAUGGUUUUGGUGUGAUGAUACUUGAAAUAGUGACAGGUAAGAGGCCGGUGGAGUAUGGUGAAGAUAAUGUGUUGAUAUUGAAUGAUCAUGUGAGGGUUUUGCUUGAACAUGGUAAUGCUUUGGAGUGUGUUGAUCCAAGUUUGAUGAGCGAAUAUCCCGAGGAUGAGGUUUUACCUGUUUUGAAGCUGGCUAUGGUCUGUACAUCUCAAAUUCCAUCUAGUAGGCCUACUAUGGCAGAAGUUGUGCAAAUAUUGCAGGUCAUUAAAACUUCUGUUCCUCAAAGGAUGGAAGUAUUUUGAUGACACUAAUACGCAUAUAUGUUUAGCUAUUUUCAGUGGUUUUAAACUGCGGUCACAAUUACACAUUGAACCUUUGUACUUCUGAGAAACACAGUAGAUUCAACCACAAUUGUAGUUUUGUUGUCAUUGCAGUUAUCUUAAAAACUGUUACUUGUGGCUUCGAGUACAUAAAGUAUUCUGUAUUAUCAAGAUUAUUGCAUUUUUCUAUUUUGUUUCCUUCAUAUUGUGUAUCCUUUUUAACUAUAAUUCAGUUUAUGUGGAUUCUAGUUCAUUGCGUAUAAAUAUGUAAUUAUCAACUCCAAGUUUCCCUUUUAUCAAUAACAUCAAUUUAUUAAUGAGUGUAUUUAUUCCUAGUUAGGAGAGGUAUCCACAUCCAAUGUGCCUCGAAAAGGAAUACCUCAAACUAGUAAUUUGUUAAAAAAAAAAGGUAAGACAUAACUUUUUCAUGAUAUAAAUAAACAAGAGUAUUGUAAACAAAACAAAAUUUGGGUGCAGGACUAACUAAAACGGACAAUCUUCAUAGUUGUGUUCUAGGUCGCAGUUUGCGGGUAAGAUCGAGUUAGUGACUAAAGAAUGAGUACAAUGUAAAACAAACUUUGAGAGAGGUGGAAUCUUUCUACAAAGUUUUUAAUCCUAUAUAAAAUAAAAUUCAAUUGACGGUAACUUUAAUAGUUGCUUAGCUUACUUCAAUGGGGCCAAAUAUAUUAUGGUUUUAUAGUUCGUAUGAAAAAUGUCCUACAUGUAUGUUGAACAUCAUUGUCAGAUUGCAAUUUUUGAAUUUUUCUUUAAGUUUUGAGCUCAGCAUUUUGAUGUCUCUGAAUGUUGAGACUCGAAAUAAUUCUACCUCUUAUUAUUAUGAUUUAUAACCUUUCUAAUUCUAACAUCAUAUAAUUCUUUGCAACUUGAGAAAGUAUCAACAUAUUAUCUCAAAACAUGUUAUGUAAAGUUCUGCUAAAAAUGCCUCUAGGAAUGAUCAGCAUUUUACAAAUCCCAUAACCACCAAGAUGGUAUGUUAGAAUGAAGCUUCGUGGUGAUUGCUUGGUACUCCUUUUCAAGAGUCAGUUCAACCUCCAAUAUAAUUAGAGUGAUAGUAAUAAAAAUAAGGAGUAAUAUGGUGAAUCUAAAUAAUGAAAAAAGAAUCUAGUGUCCCAAAAAUAGCCAAUAUGUUAUGUGUUAAAAGUUAUAAGUCUCGCAUAGAAUAAUUUUAUGAGCUUAUCACAUCAAACAUACUUCAAUUUCUAGAAGUCUUUGACACUGAAGUUAGAAUUCCAGGCAAAGCCAAACACCAAAGUUUGACAGCAUUGAAAGAUUACUAUUGGACGCCACAACUACAACUUUUAGUAUUUGAAUUUGCUCCAAAUGGUAACUUGCAAUCCAAGUUACAUGAAAAGCUUCCUUCAAAUCCUUCACUUUCUUGCACACCAAACAAUAAUUUACUACAACAAUUGCGGUUGUGUUGCCAUCAGGGGCGGUUUCACCGCCCGGCGACCCCGAGCGGUCGCCCGGGCUCGAUCGACGAUUUUUCUACAUUACACCCAACCCAAAAGCCAAUUAACACACAUACAAAAAUAAAAAUUUGGACAAUCUAAAAAUUCUCACACGCAAAUAGGUCACGGAAUUUUAUUUAGCACACUAUUGACGGGUUCAUCUCUCUUAUUUUAACGGGUUAAUUGUUCAAAUUGAUCCUGUAAUAUACAUAAUGUCUGAAAAAUGACCCUUCAAAAUACAAAACAUAUACUAUAGCAUUGUAACUUGAAUUUCUUCUUAUUUUUGACUACCCUGUAAUAUAUGUGUAGUCUAAAAAAGUGACCUACAUGUUGAAUUUUUUCAUUAUUUUUUUCAUACAUGUUUAGCACGUUAAAAUAUAGUUUUACAUAAAAAAUUAAAUUUCUUCGACCAGGGAUAAAUUAAUUAUGAAUUUUUAUUCCCACAUAAUUAUGAAUUUCUUAAACAAUUUAUAAUUAAUUUGUAUAUCGUUUAAAGACUACAAAAUUUCAUUGUGAAGGUUCUUAUCAUGUUCUAGUCAUGCCUACAAAAUUAGGGAACUAAACUUGACUUGUUAGUAUACGCUUACACGGAACAAAAUUUCAAUUUUGCACGUUUUGGUAUUCGAUUUAUAGGUCGAGAUUUCCUUUGUUUUGUUUUUUUUUUAGCUUUUGACACUUUAAAAGUUCAUAAUUAAUUUGUCGUUUGUCGAAAAUUUAUAAAUUUUUUGUGUAAAGCCAUAUUUUAACGUUCUUAAAUCACCUCUAACAAAUCAUGAAAAAAAUAAUCUAUCGGUUGCUUUUUUGGACUUCGCGUAUAUUACAGGGUUAUAAAUAAUAAAAAUAUCGAAUUACAUGGUCAGAAUAUAUGUUAUUUAAUUAUAGGGUCAAUUUUCAGACUUCACGUAUAUUACAUGGUCAAUUUCAAUUAAUAAUCAUAUUUUAAAUUGUACUUUUGUUGACAAAAUGAUAAACCUCUUUUAUUUCGAUUUUUUAAUUAAAAUUAAAAUUAAAAAAAAAAUCGAUUUAUGAAUGUUGAUAUAUUAUAUCACAUGUGAAUUUGAGAAUUUUUUUUUGCCCGGGCUCCAUAAAUUUCCUGACUCCGCCACUGGUUGCCAUUAUAAAAAUCUCGAAAACAGUUAUAUUGCGACGUAGUUUAGAACUAUGACUUCAAGUACAAAAAAUCUUCUUUAGUAAUUAGAGUGAUAGUAAUAAAAAUAAGGAGUAAUAUGGUGAAUCUAAACAAUGAAAAAAGAAUCUAGUGUCCCAAAAAUAGCCAAUAUGUUAUGUGUUAAAAGUUAUAAGUCUCGCAUAUAUAGAAUAGUUUUAUGAGCUUAUCACAUCAAACAUACUUCAAUUUCUAGAAGUCUUUGACAAUGAAGUUAGAAUUCUAGGCAAAGCCAGACACCAAAGUUUGACAGCAUUGAAAGAUUACUAUUGGACACCACAACUACAACUUUUAGUAUCUGAAUUUGCUCCAAAUGGUAACUUGCAAUCCAAGUUACAUGAAAAGCUUCCUUCAAAUCCUUCACUUUCUUGCACACCAAACAAUAAUUUACUACAACAAUUGCGGUUGUGUUGCCAUUAUAAAAAUCUCGAAAACAGUUAUAUUGCAACGUAGUUUAGAACUAUGACUUCAAGUACAUAAAAUCUUCUUUAGUAUCAAGAUUAUUAUUGUCUUUUAUUUUAUUUUUUCCCUUCAUGUCGUGUAUCCUUUUUACCAUUGAAAUUGACAUAAUUAAUCAUUUUUGUAAAAAUUGUACACAAACCUAAAACAACGGUUAUUUUAAAAUAGAGGAAGUAUUUUAUUUUCAAGAUAUACAUUUACAUUUUUAUCUAACAUUAAAAAAUGGAUGUUUAUUGAUAAAAGGGAAAAUGAGAGUUAAAUGUAGAAAAAGUGCGGGGUGAUUAAAAUAAAAUAAAAUUGAGGAAAACAAAAAAAGAAAUGAAAAGAAAAGAAAAGGAGAAUUGAAAACGUAACAAGUAACAACACACUCAUUCCUCUCAGUCUCUCACUCACUCACACACACUCGUUCCUCUCAGUCUCUCACUUGUUCUCUCUUUCCCUCAAACCCUAACUUGUUGAACAUGGCUGAAGAAGAAGAAGACGGUGAAGAUCGCAUCAGUUCCUUAUCAGAUGAUUUGCUUGUUCGUAUUCUGUCAAACCUUCACACUCGCGAAUCUGUAAGCACUUGUGUUCUGUCAAAGAGAUGGGUUCACGUUUUCAAAGCUCUUACUUGUCUGAGAUUAGAUGAUGAAAAUGGUUCAUUGCUUGAUGCUUUGGAUGAGAUGAGACAUCGAACUGACCUGACGAGUUUCGAUUUGAGCAUUUUUACUCGGCGAAGUGGAGAUAUCGUCACGGUUGCUGAAAAAGCUGUUCGUAACAUAGUGCGUUUGAAUCUUAGCUUGAACUCUCUCUCAAUCUAUGGUAUAUUGAAUAUGUAUCUUACUCGUCCUGUCUUCAAUUCCCGUACUUUGGUGGAGUUGAAACUUCACCGUGUAUGUAUAGCUGAGACUCUAUCCGUUGCCUCUUUGCCUUCACUAAAGGUGCUUUCUCUGUCUCGGGUUCAAUUUGACACCAAAUCGGUUUUCCUUUCUCUGCUAUCUGCUGUGUCGAGGGUUUUGGAGGAAUUGCGGAUUUCGUCUCCCACUUUUUCGGCUCCGAUCUGCGACCGUGAAGCUGACCUUUUUCCUUGUCUCCGUGGUGCCUUUCUACACAAGCUACCUUGGGAAAUGCUUGUCUUGUUCAUCAGUGUUUCACAUCUCCUAACAACCCUUGAGUUUACUCCUAUGGUAAUCUAUCAUUAAUCAUUACAUCAUGUAUAUCCUAAUUUAAUAUGUCUAUGUUAUAUACUAUACUCCCGUGUUUCACUUAUAUUUAUAUAUGCUAAUUAAGUUAAAUGAGAAUUUAAUCCGAAUAAUAUAUAUUGGUUUUGUGAUGGUGUGUCAUUAUGCGUGUAGAACUCAAUUUAGGAUUGUGUGUGUAGUACUCAAUUUAGGCGAGGCCGACAUUAAUUUGAUGCAAUGAUAAGAGAGUUAGUGUUUUAGUGACAUUGUCGAAUUUGGGAUUUUGACAGCUGCAAACUUGCAGUUUAGAAUGUAGAUUCUAAAUUUAGGAUCAUGUUUUGACAGUUGCCAUUUGUCUCAUUUCAGAAACUGAUUCUGUUUUGCUAAUCGUAUUUCCACUUGUGCUAUUAUGAAUCAUAACAUUCCCCAUUAAAUUUCAUUUCUUCAUGUUCCUUUCGUUUCUUUUAAAGAAACUCUAGAUUAACAUGUCUCUCUAAUACUCUUCCGAAAUUCACAUUUCUCUUAUCGGGUGAAAUUCAUGUGGAUCCCACUAUUUUAGAAAUGUUCCCCACUUAAAGUGAUCAGACCGACAUUAAUUUGAUCCGAUAAGAGAGUUGGUGUUGGACUUUGGAAAGAGAGGUUAGACUAAGUGUUACUAGCACUACUCUUAACAUGUUUGCGCAUUGGACAUGUCAAAUUUGGAAUUUUUACAAGUUCAAACUUACAAUUUAGAAUGUAGAUUCUAAAUGGAAUUUUUACAAGUUCAAACUUACAAUUUAGAAUGUAGAAGAUUCUAAAUGGAAAUACAAGGUUUCACUUGUAUACAAUUUUAUUGAAUUUGUGUUUAGGUGUGAGAUUUGAGACCAUGACAUUUACCUAGUGCUAGACUAACUUCUAUGGCAUUUAUAAUAGUCAUGUUGAGCUGGUUUUGGAGAUGCUAUACUAUCUCUUGUGCUAGUUGAUGUGAGUCAAAAUGAAAGAACAUGUUAACUUUGAAUUAGUAGGAUGAGAAGGCGAUUAAUGUGCUUGUAGUGAGUCAGAAUGGAAGGACCUUUUAAUUAACAUUGGAAUUUCUUUUCUUUAGUUGUGGAUGAUAAAAUCUUGAAUAUGAUUAUAAAUUCAAAUUUUUAUGAAAAAUUAAUAUUACAAUUACGGUCUUCCCCUUUGGCCAGUGUAUCAUGAAUUAUGGUGUGGUGCGAUGCCCUGUACAAGUAUGUGAUACAUUAGGGUCAAAAUUUGUGUAGAAUUGGAUUUUUAUGCAUAAGCUGAAAAUAUAGUAUGAAGCAUUGAAUGAAUAUCAUGACUAGGACAAUUAGUAUGUCUUAUAAAACGAGGGGGAUAAUGUCAAUAACUUUGACACAUGACAGUGGUUGAAUUUUUGCAAGAAAUGCUAAGAGAGAGUACGGUGAGAAACUGAGGAAUAUGAAAAUUUCUCAAGCCCUUUGAGAAAAUUUCACAAAAGGGGUGUUAUGAGGGACGUAGUCUGCUGUUGGAAAGGAAUAAGCUACUCCAUUCUCUGUUUGAAACCAAAGUUCUGAAUCUAAGAGAUGCACAAUGUUUUCUAUUUCUCGCACUCGUAAAGUUGAACAGUUUUUAGCAUCUCGGGUUGCACAUGCUUGCUGCCCAACGUGAGGCGUAAAGGAUUAUGGAUUAGAGGGAUUCAUGUUUUAUUUCUUUUUGUUUACGGGCACUAAGCAUUAUUUUAUCAAUUAAUUUCUGACCGUUCUUGUCCAAUAUGAUUUAUUGUUUUUCGAUUAUUUCAAUUUAGUGCCUUGUGUGUUUGCUGGUUGCGAGAUACAAAACAGCCUUAUGGUGUGAUAUCUUACGUCGUAUGCUUGUGGUUCAGCAUUCUGUAACGGUUCAGAUAUCUUACACCAAUAACAAAAUGAGUCUCAAACACUAUUCACUAGUAUAAAUGAUUAGAACAAGGAAAAAAUGGCUGAAUUGAGAAAUACAAAUACUGAUGACCAAUGUAAUAGUAGAAUUUAUGGAAGGGAAAAAUACUGAAAGUAAGAUAGAGAGCCUAUGAUUGCCAAUCCUCACUCCUUUAAUAUCAGUCAAAAGGGAAUAUUAUGCGUGUAGAACUCAAUUUAGGCGAGCCGACGCUAAUUUGAUGCGAUGAUAAGAGAGUUAGUGUCUUAGUGACAUUGUCGAAUUUGGGAUUCUGACUGACAGGUGCAAACUUGCAGUUUAGAAUGUAGAUUCUAAAUUUAGGAUCGUGUUUUGACGGUUGCCAUUUGUCUAAUUGCAGAAACUGAUUCUGUUUUGCUAAUCGUAUUUCCACUUGUGCUAUUAUGAAUCGUAACAUUCCCCAUUAGAUUUCAUUUCUUCACGGUCCUUUCUGUUCUUUUGAAGAAACACUAGAUUAACAUGUCUCUCUACUACUCUUCCGAAAUUCACAUUUCUCUUAUCGGGUGAAAUUCAUGUGGAUCCCACAAUUUUAGAAAUGUUCCCCACUUAAAGUGAUCAGACCGACAUUAAUUUGAUCCGAUAAGAGAGUUAGUGUUGGAAUUUGGAAAGAGAGGUUAGACUAAGUGUUACUAGCAUUACUCUCAACAUGUUUGCGCAUUGGACAUGUCAAAUUUGGGUUUUUGACAGGUUCAAACUUACAAUUUAGAAUGUUGAUUUUAAAUGGAAAUACAAGGUUUCCCUUGUAUACAGUUUUAUUGAAUUUGUGUUUAGGUGUCAGAUUUGAGACUAACCUCUGACAUUUACCUAGUGCUAGACUGACUUCUAUGGCAUUUAUCUUAGUCAUGUUGAGCUGGUUUUGGAGAUGCUAUACUAUCUCUUGCGCUAGUUGAUGUGAGUCAAAAUGAAAGAACAUGUUAACUAUGAAUUAGUAGGAUGAGAAGGCGAUUUAUGUGUUUGUAGUGAGUCAGAAUGGAAGGACCUUUUAAUUAACAUUAGAAUUCUUUUCUUUAGUUGAGGAUGAUAAAAUCUUGAAUAUGAUUAUAAAUCAAAUAUUUAUGAAUAAUUAAUAUCAGAAUUACUGUCUUUCCCUUAGCCAGUGUAUCAUGAAUUAUGGUGUGGUGUGAUGCCUGAUACCUGUACAAGUAUGUGAUACAUUAGGGUCAAAACUUGUGUAGAAUUGAAUUUUUAUGCAUAAGCUGAAAAUAUAGUAUGAAGCAGUGAAUAAAUAUCAUGACUAAGACCAUUAGUAUGUCUUAUAAAACGAUGUGGGUAAUGUCAAUAACUUUGAUACAUGACAGUGUUUACAUUUUUGCAAGAAAAGCUAUGAGAGAGUAUGGUGAGAAACUGAGGAAUUUGAAAAUUUCUCAAGCCCUUUGAGAAAAUUUCACAGAAAGGGUUUCAUGAGGGACAUAGUCUGCUGUUGGAAAGGAAUAAGCUACUCCAUUCUCUGUUUGAAACCAAAGUUCUGAAUCUAAGAGCUCUUACUCGUAUAGUUGAACAUUUUUUAACAUCUUGAGGCGUAAAGGAUUACGGAUUAGAGGGAUUCAUGUUUUAUUUCUUUUGUCAUCUGAAGAGUGUUCUAUCUUGUAAUUUUUUUGAACCAGUGUCUGUUUUGUACUUAUUUCUGGAGUUCAACAUGUAUCCCACAUUAUCGAUAAUUGACAAAGUGUUUAGCUUGUUUAUAAUGCUUGUUUAAAUGUGUUAUCUGCUUUCAUACACUUUAUAAACACGCAACCAAACAUAAUAAGGAUGAAGAGAAAAUAAUUCAGCUCCAUUUGUGUUCUUCCAUGCUUGUACUGUAUAUGAGAGUAGGCUUGUUUGUAAAAUGUUCCUUGUUCUUGCUUUAAGUUUGUUAUUGUUGGUUAAUGAUAAAAAUCAGUACUCACUUUUCCUUUUUAUUAAUGAGUGGUAAUCUAUUUUCACUAAUGUUAAUUAUUACAUUAUGUAUUUUCACUUAUGUUAGCCAUUACAUUAUAUUAUGUAAUUACUAUUAUAUGUGCUCAUCACUACCUAGCAGUACUCAACCUGUAUUUUUUGAAUUAGAGAAGUUCUUGCGAUAUAAUAUCUUCUAAUUUUUGGCCUCCAAUUCAUGUCUGCAGAUAAGAUUAUUUUAUUGAUCAUUUGAUCAUUUUUUGAAUUUCAGAUAUUGUGAAAAAAUUGAUGUAUUUAUGUUAUGUUUCAAAUUUUUGUUCUCACUACUCAUCCUUAAUAUUAUACUUAAGUUCAUUAAUAUCAUUUCUUAGAUGAAAAUGCCGAUACAUAAUCUUCAAUUAGAUUUUGUGUACUUCUCUUUCAGAAAAGGAAAGUAGAAACAAAUCAAAUCAGUUUUAAAAUUUUGAUAGCUUAUUUAUGUAGAAGCCUGAACAAUUUUAUUUUUUUUAAUUAUAUUCUGCUUUAAUGAUUUUGUGACAGGAUUCUAGGCAGAUGGAAGAAGGAGAGGAAAAUGUGGACAAUUGGAUCAAUCCAAUAAUUGUUCCAGUGUGCUUAACCAAUCAGCUCAAAUCAUGCCUUCUUCACGGUUACAAAAGCACAACAUGUCAGGACCGCUUUGUGAGAUAUGUUAUGCUUAAUUCCAACAUCUUGAAGACCAUUUCUAUAAAAUGUCUUCCUUCUACCGAUACAACCGUCAAGUACAGAUGGUUAAAGAAACUAGCUUCUUGGAGGAGGUCAUCCACUACCUCGCUUCUCUUUGAUUGAUGAUUGAUACAGUUUGUAGUUGAUCUAUGCUGGGGCGAUUGUUGAUUACUCGAGAUUUGGUUUGGUGGUUUGUAGUAGAUUCUAUGGUAUUCUGAAACUUUGGUGUCAAGUUUAAGUAGCUAAUCGCAUUAUGGAACUUCGGUGUCGAGUUUAAGUAGAAAACUGGUUUUCAUUUCUUCUCUUUUUGGAUCAAAUGCUUAUUUGUUGAAUAUGUAGUCGUGUUUUUUUAUUUUUAUCUGUAUGCUUAUACCACGUGAGAUAGGCUUCUUAGCUAGGUAUUAGGGAUUUAUUAUCAAUUAGCAACCGUGUGUGAGAUUAGAUUCUUGCAUUCAACCUAAUUAUGUACUCAGUAUCCCAAAAAGAAGGCCACAAACUGACUGUUCCUAUUAACACCAAUAAUUUGGUGCAGCUAGAAUCCCUAACAAGGAUCAUAAGUCCUCCUAUCAGCCUUAUGUCCAAAGCAGUCUGCACCAGAAAAUCCCAGCAGUCUUACUACCUUCUGUUUUCCUUUACAUGGGAAUAACAACCAUACUUUUAGAUUCUUUUAAGUACCCAAUUAUUCUUUUGGCAUCCAUCAGGUGAGACCUUCUUGUUAGUCUGCACCACAAACUCCAUGCUUGCCCCAAAAGUAAGCCAAUCUAUGUAGGUCCAUACAAAGCCUCAUUCAAUUUGUACACCGUGUAUUUCCUUAUUUAAAAACUAAUCCACUCCUUCAAGUAGUACAUAAUGUUAAAAUAACAAGAAAUUAGCCAAGCAUAUUUCUACCCUUCGACUAAUUAGGAGGAUAUCUUGAAAGUUCAAUAAGCUUUUCUCACUUAAUAAAGAGUUAAUGUAAGACAAAACCUUACCUAAACACCUUUAAAUGAAUGUGAUUUUAGAUACCAAAGUUGUAAAGGAAAAAAUUGUAGGAGUAUACACUUUUAUGCUACAGUCUUCUUUAGGCUGUCGCAGUGUCAUGUCAUGGCUUUACCUUCUGCUUGAGUUUGUAAUUUCUCAACAAGAGGAUCCAAAUAGUACAAAAUUUUAUUUCAAAGGAUUCUAAGAUGUGAGGAAGACCAUGAAUCCCAACGUGUUUUGGGAGUUUUCAACAUUAAUUAAUUAGGAAAGAAUGUAAGAAGGGCAAGAGUACCAUAUACCAUCAAUGGAUCAAUAUAGUGAAAAGAAGAAAACCAUUUCAUACUUUUUAUAUUUUGGAAAAACAUUAGAACCUGUCUCCACGAGAGCGUAACUCAUUUUGGAUAAUACAUAAUAUGUGCAGGGGUUAGAGUUCAAACCUCAGACACUCCACUUAUUCAUCCAUAAAUAAAAUAAAUCUCCCUUAUCCAACGAUCUCCUUUUGUGGGGAUCACAUUAAUUAGCCAUAGGUGAGUUGAGGGAUGUGUUUGUGACGGUUAAAACUUAUGGGACCAAAUUGAAUAAAAGAAAUAAGUUAAGGGACCGGCAGAUCAAUUAAGCUUUAUUUUAAUGUAAAAAAUAAAAUAAAAAGGGUGCUACAUUUUUUUUUUACCUUGAUAAAGAUGAUGUCAUAAACUUUUAUUAGAAUACUUGCGCUAUAGGAAAUAUGAUCAGUACUUAAGUCGUGCAUUUGAAAUUGCAACUUGCAAGUCACUGACUUGUUUAACCAAAAACAACCCAAAUUUUAAUGAACAAAUUAACUGAUACAAGGAUGCACAAAAGGGAGAAAACCGGUGGAAGAUAAAGAAUCUAUGGAUAAUUAAGUCGUGCUCAGGUGGACUUUGCAACAAUUAGUUUUCAGUGCUUAGAGAGUACCUACGUAAGUAAAACAGUGACUUUUAUCAUAUGUGAUUCGCUUUAACAUAUUUAAGUUGUCGAAAUAAAUUUUUAUUUUUAUUUUCAUUGAUUCAUGUUCUCUCAAUCACAAUAAUCAUAAAAUCUCAAAAAACAAAAAAUUAUUUUAUUUUGGAAUUAUUAUGGAAUCAUUAAUAUUUAUUUUAUUUAGUUUAUUUAACAAAAAAAAAUUAUAUAAAAUCUCUGGUCCAUACUAUUUGAGUCAUUGAGAUUUGUUCAUUUUUUCAAAAUGUUGAUGAUUUGAAUUUCAUAUAUGGAUCAUUUCCAGAGUAUAUAAUUCGAAAAGUGUAAAUCACCCCGUAUAAAAAGACGGCGUGGACAACCUUUUUGUUGUUCAUGUAACAUUUGCCAAUUUAAUAAUCCCUCAUCUCCUUACAAGAAUCAAACAUAUACGUAAUUAACACAUCAAAUAACACUUCUCUAGCAUACUUUUUUUGAGUAGUCACAAACUCCAUGCUUGCCCCAAAAUGUUACCGCACUGUUACGAAACCAUUUGUUAUCUAAUAUCUGGCUCUCAAACGUUGACAGAAUCAUUUAUUUAAAAACUAAUCCACUCCUUCAAGUAGGACAACCCCCAAACUUAUACUGUCAAAACCUAUGAAGUAUGGAUACAGACACGAACACUGAUACAACUAAUAAUUUGAAAAAAUCAUGUAAUUCAGUGUAAUUACAAGUGUUGGUGUCGUGUCGAUCGGACACAACACAUGUCCGACAUUGACACACGCCUAAUCCAAGGAGUGUCUAUGGUUCAACUAAAUCAAACUCAAAGCUCUUCUAAUACACAAACCAGCUACCAUAUGAAGUCUGUCUAAUCAUGAAUCCUAAUACAAGCUAAACUUCAACCAUUCCAAUAUAAACUCAAAUAUAAUUUGAUCAUCUUAAGUAAGAUCUUUAAAACUUGCCCACAACACACCAAGAUUAAAGAAGCACUUUUAUUCGACUACUACGUUGAUUGCAAAAUAUGCUCUCUUGACAGUAAUUCAUAAAUUUAAGCAACUUUCCAACAUUCAUAUGUUAUUUAUGUCAUUGUACUAACUUCUUCACAGUAUCUUAAAAUUCAUUCAUUCUUGAAUAAAAGCUCACAGUCUAAUGUCACUACUGCUCGUUCUUGACAGGUCUACACAAUUUCCGCUCCACAGCUCCAUAACCUACAUUCACCUCUAUUCAUACGCACUUUGUUUUCUUUAUUUACUUGUCCAAACAGUCCUUACAUAUGUGCUUCUGAUCUACACCUCAACUCCUACACACCCCAGUAUUAUCCUUUCAUGCAUGUGGAAACAAAAUGCAGACUGGAGUAUUCAUACAGGAAUUGCAGAUUUGCACUAGUUUGAAUAAUGCCUUCUUUCACCUCUGUCUUAUAUCAUAUCCAAAUACCAUAAUAAUUUUGAGAUUCAACCUGCUCCGAACCAUCAGUUUUACCUUUUUUCACACGCCUCUCAACUUCCGCAUCUUGAUUUUGGAUACUUCCAUAUUACGAAGCCAUCACCUGUUGCUCUGCUCCAUUGUCUUUCCACCGUUUACCUAUCCUGCAAACUGUUUUAUCAUUUCAUUACAAUCAUUUGAAAGUGAAGACUCAAUUCCAAGCCAAUGCAGUUGCUCUAUUUAUGCAUCCGAGUGUACAGACUUACAUAUUCCAUCCUAAUUUGUGCAUGAUAUCAUCUCUAACGCUUCUCUCUUAUCCUAACACUCAGAAGCUAGCAGUAUUCAUACUCAUGCAAAGUUGGGCAUGGUGGAUAUCUAUUUAGUUAGCAUUCACCAUCUUGAGGGAUGUUCAUUUUUUGCCGUAGAAGAAAGAGGAGGAGGAUAUUGCCGCUUACCUCACUCUAUGCCACAUCCUAACAUAAAUUUCCAAAGGGAUGGGAUACAAAGUUUGAGCCCAGAAUUGGGUCCGAACAAAAAUUGUCCAAUUGCUUGAAUUAUGAUAAAAUCCAAAUUAUCUAACUAAUGAAUUAGAAUCAAAUUUUUGUCGCAAUUUUUUUCCAUUUGUAUUUUCCAUGUUUUCAUGUAAAUAAAUCAACAAUUAUGUUGUAGCACAGUAAGAGUGAGAAAGAGUAUUAUCUGUUCUCCAAAUAAAAUAAACCCUAACGCUAAAUAUUAUAACAUGAAAUCGUUUACUCGUUAAAAUCAUGUAGAAUAGAUACACACAAAGAAGAUCAAGUAGCACAAUCAAUAAUUAAUAUUGGGAAAAAGAGAUUACAAUAAAUAAUCAUCAUAAGCAUACAUAGCAAUAGCAGCAGUGUCAUUCUUUGAUCCAUUCAAAAUGAAGUUGGGAACGGAAGCCUCUUGUAAUUCUUUGAUGAUUUGGAGGUCCUUGGAUGGAUUUGAAGAGUAGAUGGUGACGUUGCGCAAGAGAGUUGCAUUUUGGACAACAUAUUUGGUGAAUUGAAGCUCGCUUAGGUUGCCUCCGUAAUUAAUAAAAGAGAACAUUUGUAGAUGUAAUGAAAUGCAUUGAGGGACAAACUACGGCCAAUUAUUAUUGUGAUCAUCAUAGUCUCCUCCAAUAUUGUGAAUGGUGAGAGUUUGAAGAGAGGGGCAGGCACAGAUGAAUUUCAUUAGGGAAAUCCAAUAAUAUCCGUCAUGAAAGAUAAGGUCCAUGUGAGUUAAAUUGAGAAAUUGAGUGGUUGAAAAAUCUUGUUCUAGUGUUUGUAGCAGCACUUGUGACCGUAGAAACUGGACAUUGUAAAAGAGUUUCAAGGGCAGCAAAAACGCAGAAAUAGAAGACUCAGAAACGUCGGCUCGGAGCAAUUUAGGGAAGGGUUUCAAAGCAGCAGCAUCAUCAUGAGCAAGAGUAUUGUCGGUAACUUGUAAAUCUUUCAAGAGCAGAUCCUCAAGAAGCGGAGACAUAGAGAGAAUCUUGAUAAGAAAUUUAAGCUUUAGAAAAUGCACUUGGGUCAAGUGAAGGAUUUUAAGGGAAGGCAAAUUAGUAGAAGAUCUAUGAACAUAGUCUAUAGUCAAGGCAUUCAACUUCAAAACAACGAGAGCUGUGGAAUUUAGAACCUUAUAUGGUACACAAAGGCAAAGGGUGGCGGAAGAAGUUACAUCGAGAUGUUGAACUUGAAGACAACCAAGCCAUAAAGGUAACGGAUUAAAGAAGGGAGAUGCAGAGAGAAUAGUAACCGUUUUCAUGAUAGGAUGAUGGAUUUUCAUUUCAAACAAAAACAAGGCGAUGACAUGAUAAUAUCUGUCAUAAGCGUCGCGGUCAUGGAUAUAGCUAGUGUCAUCAAUGUUGAUUUCCGUCAUUCUUGGACGGAGUGAUCUCCAGCGCCUUGAGAGAAGGGAUGUGACCAUGAUUUGUUUUGCAGGCAAAAGAGAUAGGAUGCGACAUAGCAGUUCAUCAGGUAAAAUACUGAUUCUAUCUGCAUUUGGCAUCCCUAGCCAGACUCGCCUCCAUCGCUUUGAGAGAAGGCUUGUGCUCGGGAAUUCCUCUGAGGGUAAAAAUGACAGGAUUUCACAUAGCAAUUCAUCGGGUAAACCACUCAUCCUAUCUUCUUCUGCCAUCAUAGUUUGAUUAAUUGAUCAAAGAACAAAACAAAAGAAGGAAUAAAACUUUGUUUGUUACCUUUGGGAUUGGGAUUGGGAUUAGGAUUGCGAUUGCUAUGCUGGCUAGGGUUAAAGGAAGGAAGUCGAGGAAGAAGAAGAGGAAUGAUUGACUUUGUUAUGUAUUUCUGGAUUUAUUGGCCUUUUACUAUUUUAUUUCUCUCUUGGGACGGGCCUGUGGCCUAUACAAUCUUGGAAGAUUUCUUUUUAGAAAAUUGUUGUUCCCACUUGAAACAAGCUAGAAAAUACCAAUAAAUGACCUAAAUAUCCUUUGGUAGUUAACUUGCGGUUGUUACUGCCGUGCUGCGGAGUUAAUUAGUAGUUAACUGCCUAUGCGAUUUCUGCUACAAAUCUCAGGCAGAACCAUUACUCUCUCAUCCAUUGUCACUCUCAACUCAAAAUUUCUCUCAAAAUCUCAUCUAAAUUUAUUCAACAGAAUCACAAGUAAGUAAUCAUGGUGUUAUUAACCCAAAUUCUAGUUGUUAUAAUUGUUUUUCAUUUUUUUUUAAUUUUAGUUUUAGGUUAAUUUAAAUUUUGUUGUUUUUAUUUUAAAAAAAAAAAAACAAUCAAAUGUUUACAAGUAAGAUAUUAUGAUUCAUUUUUAGAGUAGAUUUAAGUUGAUUAAGUAUGUUUGCAAGUUUAUGUUGUAGUUUUGAGUUUUAGUGUUUAUGUAUAAUUUGCACUCCAAGUGUUUAAUGAAAUGUUUGAAUGAGUUUUUCAUUAAUUGUUUAAUUUCUUAUGGUGUAGAUCUGAAACAACGGACAAUUUGUUCAGUGCUCAAGUACGCUUCAACGGUGGAAACCCUUAUUUGUCCAAGGUCCGGGUCAAUGUCACGCUAAAGGAUCUGAAGGAACAACUGAAUGAAAUCAAUCAAGGCCUCAACCCUGGAGACGCAAGGAGGGUGGAGGACCUUUAGUAUGCAUGUCCCGGUUAUUUGCAAUCAGAAAAGAUAAUAUGCAAGUGCUUUGAUUUUAAAUUGUUUUUCUUUUCUUCUCUUUUUUGAUCAAAUGCUUGUUUGUUGAAUAUGUAGUAUGUUUUUUAUUCUUAAUUGUAUGCAUCUACCAUGUGAUAGGCUUCUUAGCUAGGUAUGGGGGAUUUAUUAUCAAUUAGCAACCGUGUGUGAGAUGAGAUUAAAUUCUUGCAAUCGACCUAAUUAUGUACUCAGUCUCCCAAAAAGAGAAGGCCACAACUGACUGUUUCUUUGAACACCAAUAAUUUGGUGCAGCUAACAAGGAUCAUAAGUCAUCCUAUCAACCUUAUGUCCAAAGCAGUCUGCACCAGAAAAUUCCAGCAAGCUUACAACCAUAAAUUUAGAUUCAUUUUAAGUACCCUUGUUUCUCUUUUGGCAUCCAUCAGUUGAGACCUUCUAUUGAUUUAUCCAACUGUAAAACAAAUAUAAAGUUUGUUUAUUGUAUAGGUACCUUGUAGAGCCAACUACUUUCUUGACAAUGUUGAAACCACCUUCUCUUUAAUUGUCUUUUCAAGGUUCAUGUACACAUCAAAUAAAAUUUUGUCAACACUUCUCAAGCAUAAUUCUUUUGAUGUUACCACGCUAUUAGGAAAUCAUUUGUAAUCUAAAUAUCUGGCUCUCAACUGUAGUUCUCUUUAAAUGAAUGUGAAAUGGUGUUUUCUCCCAACUAAUAUGAAUGAUAUGAUACAAGCUUAAACUUAGAAGACCACAAAAUACAUUUGUCUUUUUAAUACAACCACAUCUCUUAAUAAAAAAAGAGACAACGUUGACAGAAUCAUUUAUUUAAAAACAAAUCCACUCCUUCAAGUAGUACAUCCCCCAAAUCAAACAAGUACUGUCAAAAGUAAAUCAAACUCAAAGCUCUUCUAAUCAUGAAUACUAAUACCAUUUAAACUUUAACCAUUCCAAUAUAAAAUUUAAGCACUUUUAUUCAACUACUACGUUCAUUGCAAAAUAUGCUCUCUUGACAGUUAUUCAUGUCAUUGUACUAACUUCUUCACAGUAUCUUAAAAUUCAUUCAUUCUUGAAUAAAACCUCACAUUCUAAUGUCACUACUGCUCAUUCUUGACAGGUCUACACAAUUUUUACUCCACAGCUCCAUAGCCUCCAUUCACCUCUAUUCAUACGCACUUUGUUUUCUUUAUUUACUUGUCCAAACAGUCCUUACAUAUGUGCUUCUGAUCUACACCUCAACUCCUAUACAUCCCAGUAUUAUCCUUUCAUGCAUGUGGAAACAAAAGGCAGACUAGAGUAUUCAUACAGGAAUUGCAUAUUUGCACUAGUUUGAUUAAUGCCUUCUUUCACCUCUGAAAUCCCAUAAUAAUUUUGACAUUCAACCAGCUCUGCACCAUCAGUUUUACCUUUUUUGUCACGCCUCUCAACUUCCGCAUCUUGAUUUCGGAUAAUCAUGUUAUUCCUUGCCUUCCAUAUAAUGAAGUCAUCCCCCGUUGCUCUGCUCCAUUGUCUUUCCAUCGUUUACCAAUCCUGCAAACUGUUUUAUCAUUUCAUUACAAUCAUUUGAAAGUGAAGACUCAAUUCCAAGCCAAUGCAGUUGCUCUAUUUAUGCAUCCGAGUGUACAGACUUACAUAUUCCAUCCUAAUAUCAUCUCUAACAACCUAAACUAUCCUCUCACUAACUAACUGCCUAAUUUCCCUUCUCUCUAAUCCUAAAACUAAGCAGCUAGCAGUAUUCAUACCUAACUUGUACACAAGUUGGGCAUGGUGGAUAUCUAUUUAGUUAGCAUUCACCAUCUUGAGGGAUGUUCAUUUUUUGCCGUAGAAGAAAGAGGAGGAGGAUAUUGCCGCUUACCUCACUCUAUGCCACAUCCUAACAUAAAUUUCCAAAGGGAUGGGAUACAAAGUUUGAGCCCAGAAUUGGGUCCGAACAAAAAUUGUCCAAUUGCUAGAAUUAUGAUAAAAUCCAAAUUAUCUAACUAAUGAAUUAGAAUCAAAUUUUUGUCGCAAUUUUUUUCCAUUUGUAUUUUCCAUGUUUUCAUGUAGAUAAAUCAACAAUUAUGUUGUAGCACAGUAAGAGUGAGAAAGAGUAUUAUCUGUUCUCCAAAUAAAAUAAACCCUAUCGCUAAAUAUUAUAACAUGAAAUCGUUUACUCCUUAAAAUCCUGUAGAAUAGAUACACACAAAGAAGAUCAAGUAGCACAAUCAAAUAAUUAAUAUUGGGAAAAAGAGCAGCAGUGUCAUUCUUUGAUCCAUUCAAAAUGAAGUUGGUGGGGAAUGGAAUCCUCGAGUAAUUCUUUGAUGAUUUGGAGGUCCUUGGGUGGAUUUGAAGAGGUAUUUGUGUAGAUGGUGACGUUGCGCAAGAGAGUUGCAUUUUGGACAACAUAUUUGGUGAAUUGAAGCUCGCUUAGGUUGCCUCCGUAAUUAAUAAAAGAGAACAUUUGUAGAUGUGAUGAAAUGCAUUGGGGGACAAAGUGUGGAUGCGGCCAAUUAUUAUUGUGAUCAUCAUAGCCUCCUCCAAUCUUGCCGCGAAUGAUGAGAGUUUGAAGAGAGGGGCAGGCACAGAUGAAUUUCAUUACGGAAAUCCAAUAAUAUCCGUCAUGAAAGAUAAGGUCCAUGUGAGUUAAAUUGAGAAAUUGAGUGGUUGAAAAAUCUUGUUCUAGUGUUUGUAGCAGCACUUGUGACCGUAGAAACUGGACAUUGUAAAAGAGUUUCAGGGGCAGCAAAAAAGCAGAAAUAGAAGACUCAGAAACGUCGGCUCUGAGCAAUUUAGGGAAGGGUUUCAAUGCAGCAGCAUCAUCAUGAGCAAGAGUGUUGUCUGUAACUUGUAAAUCUUUCAAGAGCAGAUCCUCAAGAAGCAGAGACAUAGAGAGAAUCUUGAUGAGAAAUUUAAGCUUUAGAAAAUGCACUUGGGUCAAGUGAAGGAUUUUAAGGGAAGGCAAAUUAGUAGAAGAUCUAUGAACAUAGUCUAUAGUCAAGGCAUUCAACUUCAAAACAACUAGAGCUGUGGAAGUUAGAACCUUAUAUGGUACACAAAGGCAAAGGGUGGCGGAAGAAGUUACAUCGAGAUGUUGAACUUGAAGAUAAUCAAGCCAUAAAGGUAAGGGAUUAAAGAAGGGAGAUGCAGAGAGAAUAGUAACCGUUUUCAUGAUAGUAUGAUGGAUUUUCAUUUCAAACAAAAACAAGGCGAUGACAUGAUAAUAUCUGUCAUAAGCGUCGCGGUCAUGGAUAUAGCUAGUGUCAUCAAUGUUGAUUUCCGUCAUUCUUGGACGGAGUGAUCUCCAGCGCCUUGAGAGAAGGGAUGUGACCAUGAUUUGUUUUGCAGGCAAAAGAGAUAGGAUGCGACAUAGCAGUUCAUCAGGUAAAAUACUGAUUCUAUCUGCAUUUGGCAUCCCUAGCCAGACUCGCCUCCAUCGCUUUGAGAGAAGGCUUGUGCUCGGGAUUUCCUCUGAGGGUAAAAAUGACAGGAUUUCACAUAGCAAUUCAUCGGGUAAACCACUCAUCCUAUCUUCUUCUGCCAUCAUAGUUUGAUUAAUUGAUCAAAGAACAAAACAAAAGAAGGAAUAAAACUUUGUUUGUUACCUUUGGGAUUGGGAUUGGGAUUAGGAUUGCGAUUGCUAUACUGGCUAGGGUUAAAGGAAGGAAGUCGAGGAAGAAGAAGAGGACUGAUUGACUUUAUUAUGUAUUUCUGGAUUUAUUUAUUGGCCUUUUACUAUUUUAUUUCUCUCUUGAGACGGG
RNAcentral lists this long non-coding RNA (34034 nucleotides) under Medicago truncatula (barrel medic). RNAcentral's name for it is "long non-coding RNA (MTRU_LNC004782)". Lineage: Eukaryota; Viridiplantae; Streptophyta; Magnoliopsida; Fabales; Fabaceae. The record is from RNAcentral.